RNAcentral lists this ribosomal RNA (497 nucleotides) under uncultured bacterium. Its description in RNAcentral is "partial 16S ribosomal RNA". It matches the Rfam family "Bacterial small subunit ribosomal RNA", at positions 28 to 507 of the family's 1533-position model. The record is from RNAcentral.
GACGAACGCUGGCGGCGUGCCUAAUACAUGCGAGUAGAACGCUGAAGAGAGGAGCUUGCUCUUCUUGGAUGAGUUGCGAACGGGUGAGUAACGCGUAGGUAACCUGCCUUGUAGCGGGGGAUAACUAUUGGAAACGAUAGCUAAUACCGCAUAACAAUGGAUGACACAUGUCAUUUAUUUGAAAGGGGCAAUUGCUCCACUACAAGAUGGACCUGCGUUGUAUUAGCUAGUAGGUGAGGUAAUGGCUCACCUAGGCGACGAUACAUAGCCGACCUGAGAGGGUGAUCGGCCACACUGGGACUUGGACACCGCCCAGACCCCUACGGGAGGCAGCAGUAGGGGAUCUUCGGCAAUGGGGGCAACCCUGACCGAGCAACGCCGCGGGAGUGAAGAAGGUUUUCGGAUCGUAAAGCUCUGUUGUAAGUCAAGAACGGGUUUUAGAGUGGAAAGUUCACGCUGUGACGGUAGCUUACCAGAAAGGGACGGCUAACUACGUG